Long non-coding RNA from Cyanistes caeruleus (blue tit), 649 nucleotides. RefSeq lists it as uncharacterized. NCBI's taxonomy places the organism in Eukaryota, Metazoa, Chordata, Aves, Passeriformes, Paridae. The record is from RefSeq and is a predicted model, not a curated record.
AAUAAUUAGGGGGUGCACACAAAUAAGUAGGGUGCUGAGUUUCUCUCCUCAAUAUGCAUUAAUUUUCUUAUUAACAAUGAGCUUAAUGGACUAUUUUAGCAUCAAAUUGAUUUAUGUUGCAGGAGUCUUAUGUGUUGUUGGUCAUCCUUAGAUUUUCCUCAUGAGCUGAGGAGGAAUAGAACGAAGAAUGUCGAACAGAUAAUGGUUGUUCCUUACACUGUACAGUAAUUUCAUCAGUAUCAAAUUUAGAUUUUCCUUUCUGAUUCUCAGAAGACUCUGUCAUUUCACUUUUUAGCUCAUUUCCAGAGCACUCAUGAAUCUGAUGUUCUCUGCAGUUUUCUCACUAUUGAUUUCUUUCCAUUUCAGUUACUUCUGAAAUUUUUUUACAAAUUAUUAUCCAUAAGAGGAUUCUUUUAUUCUGUGUCAAGUUUAUACCUUAAAACUCUUGGAUGAGAAGCACGGCUGGAAGAGCUGUAGUUUCUGAAUAACAAAAGGAUAUCUCACAUGCCUUAUUUAGAAUUCCUCAGCCAUUAUGCUCUGUUCUGUGUUCAUAAAUGGUGAUCACCAGAUAUUUGGCAUUAAGAAGAGAGGUAGAAUUCAUCUGAAAAUGUAAAUAUUCCACCUCAAUAAACUGAUCUGAUCAACUUAA